GUACUUACUUUUGCAACACAUAUACUAGAAUGGGAACAAUACAGAGAGGAUUAGUGUGGUCCCUGCAGAGGAAAACAUGGGAACUUAUGAAGUGUUUAAUAUUUAA
Molecule: small nuclear RNA, 106 nt
Filed under: Microcebus murinus (gray mouse lemur)
Lineage: Eukaryota; Metazoa; Chordata; Mammalia; Primates; Cheirogaleidae
Source: RNAcentral